GCUUUUGGUUCAGUGGUAGAUGCUCGCCUGCCACGCGGGUGGCCUGGGUUCGAUUCCCGGCCGAUGCA
Cordylochernes scorpioides is the source of this 68-nucleotide non-coding RNA. Lineage: Eukaryota; Metazoa; Arthropoda; Arachnida; Pseudoscorpiones; Chernetidae. The record is from the annotation of a GenBank genome assembly.